AGUGAACGCUGGCGGUAGGCCUAACACAUGCAAGUCGAACGGUAGCACAGGAGAGCUUACUCUCUGGGUGGCGAGUGGCGGACGGGUGAGGAAUACAUCGGAAUCUACUUUUUCGUGGGGGAUAACGUAGGGAAACUUACGCUAAUACCGCAUACGACCUACGGGUGAAAGCUGGGGAUCUUCGGACCUUGCGCGAUUGAAUGAGCCGAUGUCGGAUUAGCUAGUUGGCGGGGUAAAGGCCCACCAAGGCGACGAUCCGUAGCUGGUCUGAGAGGAUGAUCAGCCACACUGGAACUGAGACACGGUCCAGACUCCUACGGGAGGCAGCAGUGGGGAAUAUUGGACAAUGGGCGCAAGCCUGAUCCAGCCAUACCGCGUGGGUGAAGAAGGCCUUCGGGUUGUAAAGCCCUUUUGUUGGGAAAGAAAUCCAGCUGGUUAAUACCCGGUUGGGAUGACGGUACCCAAAGAAUAAGCACCGGCUAACUUCGUGCCAGCAGCCGCCGUAA
RNAcentral lists this ribosomal RNA (506 nucleotides) under uncultured bacterium. Its description in RNAcentral is "partial 16S ribosomal RNA". It matches the Rfam family "Bacterial small subunit ribosomal RNA", at positions 29 to 523 of the family's 1533-position model. The record is from RNAcentral.